RNAcentral lists this ribosomal RNA (339 nucleotides) under uncultured bacterium. RNAcentral describes it as "bacterial SSU rRNA". It matches the Rfam family "Bacterial small subunit ribosomal RNA", at positions 28 to 355 of the family's 1533-position model. The record is from RNAcentral.
AAUGAACGCUGGCGGCGUGCUUAACACAUGCAAGUCGUGCGCGAAGGUGGCUUCGGCUGCCGGAGAGCGGCGAACGGGUGAGUAACACGUGGGUGAUCUGCCUGGGGGCGGGGGAUAACCUGGGGAAACUCGGGCUAAUACCGCAUACGUUGGCGGGUUUACGGACUCGUCAAGAAAGCUGGCCUCUGCUUGCAAGCUAGCGCUCCCAGAGGAGCCCGCGGCUGAUAGCUAGUUGGUGAGGUAAUGGCUCACCAAGGCGACGAUCAGUAGCCGGCCUGAGAGGGUGAUCGGCCACACUGGGACUGAGACACGGCCCAGACUCCUACGGGAGGCAGCAGU